UCGCUGUCUUGGUUCCGUUGGUUGCUCAUCUCCCCGUCGCGUCGUGGUUCAGCCCUGCGUCGCUGUCUUGGUUCCGUGGUUCCGUGGUUCAGCCCUGCGUCGCUGUCUUGGUUCCGUGGUUCAGCAUCUCCCCGUCGCGUCGUGGUUCCGGUGGUUGCUCGGCGUCGUGGUUCCGGUGGUAUGUUAAUUGUGAAGAUGGGUAGAUACGCAUAUGGUUGAAGAGAGGGGCGAUGAUCGUACUGCCAGCAUAAUCUAUCAUCGUGCUUGUUCGAAUUUCAACAAUUGCAUAAGAUGACUUGAGAUCCCCGAGUCAGAAAUUUUCAGAAGCUUUCGGUGAUUUGUGUCUUUUCAGAAGUUCUCAGAAUCGGAAAAUAAAGCACGUAUUUACUUUUGGUGAGUUGUGCGUUUUCUCCUAGUGUUGCGCUAAUUAACAUGUCUCCUAAUCUUGAGCUAGAAUGACCUAAAUCAAAACGAGCGGGCUUAAAUUGACCUUAGUUGAAUAAAUUGACCUAAAUUGACCUUAGUUGACUAAAUUAGCAUAAAUAUGAAC
Spinacia oleracea (spinach) is the source of this 550-nucleotide long non-coding RNA. RefSeq lists it as uncharacterized. Lineage: Eukaryota; Viridiplantae; Streptophyta; Magnoliopsida; Caryophyllales; Amaranthaceae. The transcript is spliced from 3 exons. The record is from RefSeq and is a predicted model, not a curated record.